GUNGCNCUGAUGGNAACNUAGGAACUUCUGCUAUCCCGGAUGAGCCGGAGGUCAAAGAUUUAUCGCCUAGAGAUGAGCUCGCGUCUGAUUAGCUAGUUGGUAAGGUAAAAGCUUACCAAGGCAACGAUCAGUAGCUGGUCUGAGAGGAUGAUCAGCCACACUGGGACUGAGACACGGCCCAUACUCCUACGGGAGGCAGCAGUGGGGAAUUUUCCGCAUUGGGCGCAAGCCUGACGGAGCAAGACCGCGUGGGGGAGGAAGGCUCUUGGGUUGUAAACCCCUUUUCUCAGGGAAGAACCAAAUGACGGUACCUGAGGAAUCAGCCUCGGCUAACUCCGUGCCAGCAGCCGCGGUAAUACGGAGGAGGCAAGCGUUAUCCGGAAUGAUUGGGCGUAAAGCGUUCGUAGGUGGCUAUUCAAGUCUGCUGUCAAAGACAGAAGCUCAACUUCUGAAAGGCAGUGGAAACUGAGUACCUGGAGUGCGGUAGGGGCAGAGGGAAUUCCCGGUGUAGCGGUGAAAUGCGUANAGAUCGGGAAGAACACCGGUGGCGAAAGCGCUCUGCUGGGCCGCAACUGACACUGAGGGACGAAAGCUAGGGGAGCGAAUGGGAUUAGAUACCCCCAUUUUUCCACCGCGUUACCCCCCCCNUCCGG
RNAcentral lists this ribosomal RNA (653 nucleotides) under Lyngbya sp. 7H9. RNAcentral's name for it is "bacterial SSU rRNA". It matches the Rfam family "Bacterial small subunit ribosomal RNA", at positions 140 to 820 of the family's 1533-position model. Lineage: Bacteria; Bacillati; Cyanobacteriota; Cyanophyceae; Oscillatoriales; Microcoleaceae. The record is from RNAcentral.